Molecule: ribosomal RNA, 254 nt
Filed under: uncultured bacterium
Lineage: Bacteria
Description: partial 16S ribosomal RNA
Rfam family: Bacterial small subunit ribosomal RNA
Source: RNAcentral
UACGUAGGACCCAAGCGUUAUCCGGAAUUACUGGGCGUAAAGAGUUGCGUAGGUGGACUAUUAAGUGGAGCGUGAAAGCGUGCGGCUCAACCGCAUUACUGCGUUCCAAACUAAUAGACUAGAGUAUGAGAGAGGUAGAUGGAAUUUCCAGUGUAGGAGUGAAAUCCGUAGAUAUUGGAAGGAACACCGAUGGCGUAGGCAGUCUACUGGCUCAUUACUGACACUAAGGCACGAAAGCGUGGGGAGCAAACGGG